Molecule: ribosomal RNA, 254 nt
Filed under: uncultured prokaryote
Description: partial 16S ribosomal RNA
Rfam family: Bacterial small subunit ribosomal RNA
Source: RNAcentral
AAUACGGAGGGGGCGAGCGUUAUUCGGAAUUAUUGGGCGUAAAGGGCGCGUAGGCGGCUUGAUAAGUCAAAGGUGAAAUCCCUCGGCUCAACUGAGGAACUGCCUUUGAAACUAUCGAGCUUGAGGCCGGGAGGGGGUAGCGGAAUUCCCAGUGUAGCGGUGAAAUGCGUAGAUAUUGGGAGGAACACCGGUGGCGAAGGCGGCUACCUGGACCGGUUCUGACGCUGAGGCGCGAAAGCGUGGGUAGCAAACAG